This 424-nucleotide ribosomal RNA is filed under the name uncultured bacterium. RNAcentral describes it as "bacterial SSU rRNA". It matches the Rfam family "Bacterial small subunit ribosomal RNA", at positions 355 to 776 of the family's 1533-position model. The record is from RNAcentral.
UAAGGAAUAUUGGGCAAUGGAGGCAACUCUGACCCAGCCAUGCCGCGUGGAGGAUGAAGGCCCUCUGGGUUGUAAACUUCUUUUAUCUGGGAAGAAACCCUUGCAUUCUUGCGAGGUUGACGGUACCAGAGGAAUAAGCACCGGCUAACUCCGUGCCAGCAGCCGCGGUAAUACGGAGGGUGCAAGCGUUAUCCGGAUUCACUGGGUUUAAAGGGUGCGUAGGCGGGCAGGUAAGUCCGUGGUGAAAUCUCCGAGCUUAACUCGGAAAUUGCCGUGGAUACUAUCUGUCUUGAAUGCUGUGGAGGUGAGCGGAAUAUGUCAUGUAGCGGUGAAAUGCUUAGAUAUGACAUAGAACACCAAUUGCGAAGGCAGCUCACUACACAGCGAUUGACGCUGAGGCACGAAAGCGUGGGGAUCAAACAGG